Molecule: transfer RNA, 76 nt
Filed under: Candidatus Andersenbacteria bacterium RIFCSPHIGHO2_12_FULL_45_11b
Lineage: Bacteria; Candidatus Anderseniibacteriota
Description: tRNA-Arg
Rfam family: tRNA
About the family: Transfer RNA (tRNA) molecules are approximately 80 nucleotides in length.
Source: RNAcentral
GCACUCGUAGCUCAGCGGAUAGAGCAUCUGGCUUCGGACCAGAGGGUCGGGGGUUCGAGUCCCUCCGAGUGCACCA